GCUUAUCAGGAGAUGUAAUAGUUCAUUAGUGGCCAAAAGCGAGACAUGUACUUCCCCCAUUGAGUGAUGGCCCUCUACAAAUAGGUGAAGGUUACACUGUCCCCUAUGGAACAAUUCAUGAUGUCAAAGAAAAGAGUCCUCGAAAAUAAUAUGUUCGCUCAAUUUGUCGAGCUCCAACGAAAGCAAGUGAAGGAAUGGAAUCAACACCGGAAGGAAAAGAUGGACGUACCACCGGCACUCAAAGAAAGAGUAGAACUGAAAACCAACUCACCGACCUAAAAAAUAUGUCCGACAUGGAAUGGGCUAUUAGGUGGAUGCAAGAAAUGUCCCUGAUGGGCAUUGACUACGUGUAGAGGCACGGUAUACGAGUGCCUAACCUGUCACCAAACAAGUACGUGCCCUUUCCACACCCCGAUGAGAUCGAUGGGGAGCCGAGGAGGAAGACGAUGGUGGUGAUGACAACGAUCAUGACGAUGACAAUGGUGAUGAUGAUGAGGAGGAGGAGGAGCCUUUUCGAGCUUUGGACUACGGGGUAACAUUUUAGUCAGAACACCCCACGACUAUGGGAAUCAAAUUUCGCAGCCCAAGCCUACAGUGCCCGGCCCAACCUUCGAGUAGGAGGGCCACCAAGACCGCUGUGGGAC
This 644-nucleotide long non-coding RNA is filed under the name Gossypium raimondii (Peruvian cotton). RNAcentral's name for it is "long non-coding RNA (GRAI_LNC007512)". The record is from RNAcentral. Lineage: Eukaryota; Viridiplantae; Streptophyta; Magnoliopsida; Malvales; Malvaceae.